UACGUAGGGGGCUAGCGUUGUCCGGAUUUAUUGGGCGUAAAGAGCGUGUAGGCGGCCAGGUAGGUCUGCUGUGAAAACCUCGACGGGCUUAACCUCGAAGCUGUCGGCGGAAACCAUCUGGCUAGAGUCCGGAAGAGGAGAAUGGAAUUCCCGGUGUAAGCGGUGAAAUGCGCAGAUAUCGGGAAGAACACCCGUGGCGAAGGCGGUCUCUGGGACGGUACUGACGCUGAGACGCGAAGCGUGGGGAGCGAACAGG
RNAcentral lists this ribosomal RNA (256 nucleotides) under uncultured bacterium. RNAcentral describes it as "partial 16S ribosomal RNA". It matches the Rfam family "Bacterial small subunit ribosomal RNA", at positions 524 to 776 of the family's 1533-position model. The record is from RNAcentral.